GAGUAUUUCCAGAACAGAAGUAAGCAGGCUUCUUUCAUUCUAAAGUCUACUGUGAUUUUUAACAGGGUUUCCUUAUUUCCUAUCAGUUUGUUUAUCAAAGACUCCAGCAUGGAGUUUAUUUAGGAAAAACAAAUGACUUUUUAGGUUCCACUACUUGGCUGAGAGGAAUUCAUGUUUUAGGAAGCCCCAGAUGGGAAAGCCUUGUUGUUUUCUUCUUUGAAAUGAUCUGCAUUUUCAAUUUUUUUCUACUUGCUUUUAUUUCCCACAAUCCAGACUCGCCUUUUCUACUUUGCCUAUCCAACGAUCUAAAACACUAUGUAAAGAUACAGAUAAGUCUUGUUGAUUCUUUUAAACAUUAGCCAUAAUCCAAAAAAGAAAAAAGUCUUAGGACUAUAGUCCUAACAGCACAAAUUUUAACCCUGACCAAAGCAAUUUCUAUUUUAAUUUAGGUUAUUUGAGCUGAAUUUGCAGGGCGAAGUGGUCAUGGGUAAAACUAACCAUUAGUUACCUCAAGCUUGCAACAAUGGCAAAGAAAUGUCAAGCCAUUAAUUAAAAUGACUCCCACGGCCCCUCCUGGAAUCAAGUCGUUCCCAGUUAGUCAACAUCUGUCACAAUCUGUGUAAAAGGGCAGAACACGCUAUACCCCAGCACAUUAAGUUAGAACACAGAGGUCUUGGGUCACUGCCAGAGUAACUUGUCUGUGGCAUGAUGGUUGCUAAGCGAAACAGAGCAUUCUCUGCAGGGAGCCCCCCUGGACUGAGGCUCCUUCUCUUCCCCUUUAUUUCUUGCUAGGCCAGCAGGAGCCAGGCCGUGGCCUGCUGACUGCAUCUGCCAGAUGACUACCAAUGUGUGAGUAAACCCAUUCUCAAGCCCAAGAGAACCUCUCAGCUGAACCAGGCCCAAGUUGCUCACCCACUGAACUGCCAGUUAAAUAAAUGGUGGUUGUUUUAAUCCACUAAAUGCUGGGAUGGUUUGUUAUACAGCAGUAGGUAUCAAUACAGUGUACUUGUCAAUCUAGGAAUUCCUGUCUUGUCAAAUCUGAGAAAAUUCUCGGUCACUGUCACUUCAAAUAUUACUUCUUUCCCAUUUUCUAUUCACUCAUUCCAAAACUCCUAGUGGAUGUCUUUUCUGUCAUUUCUGGUUCUGUCUUUUGUGAUCUUAAACUUUCAUUCAUUGUUUUUCCAUUUUUACUUCCGUGUUACAUUUUGAGUCAUUUCCUUAGUUCCAGUUUGCUUAUUUUCUAUUCAACCAUUAAAUAUUUCUAUUUAGUUUUAAGUUUCAGUGGCUAUAAGUUUCAUUUAUAAAAGAACUAUUUGGUUAUUUUCUAAAUCUGCAUUUUGUUUUCACAUGUUUUUCUGUUUUUUAAUUUGUAUUUUCCUUUGCCCUUGUAAAUCAUUUAAAAUGUACUUAUUUUAUAAUCAUCUGUGGCUUGAUCUGUUUCUUUACUUCUUGGGCAUUACUUUUUCUGUUAAUUUCAUGAUCUGACCCUCAAGGUGGUUUCCUCCUAUGGUUUGUAAUUUUUAUUAUGAGCUUAUUUUCAGCAGGGAUUUCUCCCCUCUGGUGAAGAUCUGUAUGCCUUGGGUAAUGUGAUUGUCACUUCACUAUGCCUGCAAGUUUGCUUCUGAUGGCAUCCUACCGAUAUCACCAACUCUCAACCAGCUCUAAUGUUUCUUGGUAUUUCUGCCCACAGUGAAAAUUCAGAGCUCACUUCAAUGCAUGGCAUGGGCUUGGCUUCAAGUUUUUCUGUAUGACCUUUUUUUAAAUUUAUUUUUAUUUUUUUAAACCUAUAGCCCAAGGACACGGGAGCUUUUUUUCCUGAUUUGUUUUUGCCAACACUGUAGCCCUCAGGAACUCAGAUUUUGCAAAGUGCUCAAUUCCAGUUGCCUUCCUUACUCACACCAGAGACAAUAUUUUAUUGGCCUGCAAGGGUGUUAAAAUCCCAAGGGUGUUAAAAUCCCCAGAUCUCCAGGGCCUAUCAUUGGUCCAAACCCUGCAGAGGCUACAGUGACAUUAGCCCCUACUUACUGCCCAGCCUCUGAGCUCCCUCUUUGUUUCUAGAAUCUGGGGAUUUCCCUUUCUCUCUGUCUAGAGAUUGUUGUGCUGGACCCCUAUUGACUCCAAUAGGAAUGGCACCAGGUUCAAGAGGCCAAAGAAGAGACCUGGAGCCAGCAAAUGAGACAUAAGAUUUGAUUUGGGGGAACUUAUGUACAGGGAUGGACUAGUGGCAGUGGGCUGGAUAAGAGAACCACAACUGCUUUCCAAAAGCCUGCAGUUUAUACAGCACCUUCACUCAGCACCCUCUCUCCAGCAACAUCCACAUGGCAACCCCCAUUUCCUAGGCUAAGUUAUUGCUGUCAGAUGUGUUUGCCAUACAGGCUGCUGUACAGAGUAUGCUUAAGUUAUUGCUGUCAGGUACAUCCACCGUAUAUAUACAUACACAUGUACGUAUAUAUACACAUACAUGUAUGUGUGUGUGUACAUAUUUGUACUCAUAUACAUGUGUAUAUAUAGAUAUAUAAAAAAAUUUUCUCUGUGUUUCCCUGUAACAGUAACUGAAGAGGGAAUUCUUCUAUAUAAUCUCAGUCCACUAUAUUGCUAGAAGUUCUCUUCUCUAUACUUUUGAGAUAUGAAUUUUACCUUUCAAUAUUCUAAAAUUAUAACAAAGCUAUAAAUUUUGGGAAUUGGUAUAUGUUUGUUUUUAGAAAAAUUGUUAGAAACAUAAUAGCAAUGGGAUGCUUUAACAUGCUACCUUGAACCUUUACCAAAUCAAGAGAGUAAAAAUUAAGCACAAAAGAGGGAUCUAAUACUAUAAACAAGGUAGAUUUAAUACAUAUGUAUCAAACAUAGUAACCUAGAAGCAAUGAAUAUACAUUUUCUGGUGCUCAUUUAACAUUAACGACCUUCAAGAAGGCUUUAAACAGCAACAGAUAGAGUUGAGUUGCUUUGGCCUAUUGCUAAAGGCAUCUAACCCACCUGCUUUGUGGGAGGUCAUCUGCUUUGAAUCUCAACUGUAUCCAAGUCAGAUUUAAACUCUAUGGGGCAUUGGAAUUGUCCUCUGAAUCAUCUCCAACUCUGCAGGAUACAUAAUAGCACCACUUUGUUGUUCUGGAAUUUAAAGACAGGGUCUUAUUCAACUUUGGCUAUUUUUGUGCAGUCCAUGGAUCCUUGAAACAGGACAUUCUACUUUACCAAUAUCUGACUCAUAGAAGACCUAUCUAUAUACCUACCAGGUGGCUACUACCCAGUAACUCCUACCGCCAAUACCAUGACAUUUGUUUUGAAAACCUUAGCUUAUUGCAAUAUUGCUUAUAAUUAUGAAACCUUAGAAACAACUGAAAUGCCUAUCAAAGAGAGAAUUUAUAAAUAAAAUGUAACAUAUUCACGUUCUAUUUUGAUAUGAAUUACCAUAAUAUUCUAUUAGGAUAUGAAUUGUUAUAAUGGCCAUUAGAAGGAAUGGAUUGUUCCCAUAUAUAACAUAAUAUAUCCAUGUAUAAAGUAUCUAUAUAAUACCAACACGUAACAUAAUGUAAAGAAAAGAGAUUCAUGGAAUAAAAUGUGCAUGUCAUUGAUAUAAAUUUUAAAAACACAGAAAUAAUACAUUAUAUUAAGACUAUAUAUGUAUGUAAAAUUAUUACCAGUGGACUGAUUUGGAUAUACACUAAAUUCAUGCUACUUGCUUCUGGAGGUUGCAGUAAAGAACUGGAACUGUGUCUGGGGAUGUCACUUUUAUCUGUUUUAUUUAGUUCAUUUUUUAUAAACAAUCCUUGAGGCAAAUAUGAGCUGUUAAUAAAUGCCAAUUAGUCUUUUUGCAUAUUGGUUGCAUUUCUCUUUUUUACAACUUUAUUGAGUAUAAUU
This 3855-nucleotide long non-coding RNA is filed under the name Homo sapiens (human). Its description in RNAcentral is "non-protein coding ZBED3-AS1:19". Lineage: Eukaryota; Metazoa; Chordata; Mammalia; Primates; Hominidae. The record is from RNAcentral.